UACACCCCACCUCAAUCCCUCCAGCCGUCGCUGCCCCUCCCACAUCUCUCCUCCAUCCCCCUCCUCUCUCUCUCCUCUCUUUCCACCUCGUCCGCGAGCCCAUCACCCAGCGCUCGCGCGCUUGCCUCCCGGACCAGCCCGCCACCGCGCCGCUAGGGUUCGUCUGCCGCGGAUUUCCACGGGGAAGGAGCAGCGAUGGGGGUAGGCUCUAAGCGGCGCGCACUUCAUGGGGAGGCAAGGAACAAGGAGGUGACGGGGUCGGAUCUGGCGGUGGUAGGUCAGAGCUCGAGCUCGAGGCCGAGAUGGGGAAGGUAAAAAAUAGAGACUGGAUGGAGAUGCUCGAGGCGGAGGACCGCCCGUCGGCGAGCUCGAGCUGGAGACGCACAAUUAGCGUCACCGGCCAUUGGAUGGGUUGGAGCACGAGGCAGCGCUCCUGUCGCUAUGUGGUGGAGCCGCGCAGGAGGGUGAGGAGGUUGGCGACAGGGAACCGGGCCGGGGAGGAGGCAAGGUUGCGUAUAGUAUAGGAGGCAUUGGUGAUGAAACAUGAAUGUCCGUUGAUCUUGUCCGCUCUAGAUCUCAGUAGACCUGUGUGAUGUGCUCUUGAUCCUUUCUCUCUUUUCUCGUUAAACGAAUCUCAGACUGAGGAGAGCAUGUUCUUUAAUUAGGUUGCAAUCGUGAAACUUCUUUUGGUUUUUCUUAUUGUACAAUACGAAGCUUCCAAGUUGUUUGGUCCUGGAAAUAAGUUACCAAAUUUCUGUGUGCAGUGAGCUGGGAGCCGGGGUCAUCCCUCUCACUACCAGUCGAACAUACUACGUCAGCCACCAUGUCGAGCGAUAUAAAAGUGUUCUCUAUUUCAUAGAGCAACAACAUGAGAUUAUGCCCCCUCUUGCUCCUGGUGCAUGUUGCUGCCCUCCUUUCUCCUCUUAUUUCACUUGCUUUACAUUGUGUGAAGUUGUUUACUUUCAACUUUACAAAGCUAUAUCCUAUGUUUUAAAGGCGUCCCUAAGGCGACGCCUAGGCGACGCCUAGGCGUCGAAGCGCUCCCCCUCCGCUUUGGAAAAUCGACCGCUUUGGGCGCCUAGGCGUCGCCUAGGCGCCAAAGCGCCCCCCUCCCUAAGGCGGUAAGGCAUCGCCUUAAAAACAUAGGCUAUAUCAAGUUCGCAACUGUAUUUGGCUACACCUAUAACAUAUUGCAUUUCUCUUCCAGUUUAUUGAAUAUAUUUUUAAGGAUUGAAUGUUCUGUCUGGUACUGUCCUAUCACACAUUUAACUAUCUUAAUUUGUUCACAAAACUCCUUCUGUAGUUAAGAUUUCAUUGUACAACACGUACUAAUUAUUGGUCUUAUUCUUAAAUCUUAUUUCACGCUAUUCAGCUGCAGGCUGGGUUAAGAUUGUUUUUGUGCCAGAAACAGACUAGGCAAUGCUCUAACUUGGCAGCAAAAAAUGUCUAAAUUUCAUAAAUAAGGUCGUGGAAUAUCUUUGAAUAAGUUCAUUUGAAUAUCUUGAGUUGACCUGUAUGGGUUGCUUCUGUGCACACUUUCUUUGAUAUGAAUUUCUAGGAGAGAAAUUAUUUCAUGGUAAUGAUGUAUUAUCAAUAUUUACUUUGUUCUUGGCCUAUAGGUUUCUUUUUGUGGGAUGCAAUUAUGGUACCAUAUGAAUAUGAUCCUUGAGUUGCAUAUUAUUGCCCUUUUGGACAUAGACAUGUGCCAUGUAGUACAACAUUUAUAAAGCAUGUAUUGGAAAUUGUAAGUAGAUGAUUACGGUUACCCUGUAAUUUGAGGAGUAAGAUAUAUAUGGUGAUAGAAUCUAGAGAUACUUGUUAAUCUAUAACAAUGAGAUCCAGUCACGUGAAAUAUGUUUUAUUCACAGAAACAGGGAAUCAAUCUGGCUGAAAGUAGUCAUCUUAUGGCGUGGCAUGAAGAGAUGUGUGCAGAUCUGAGAAAGAAGAGGAAUAAUCCAGCAGAAGAAUUUGGUGAAUAAGAACAAGUUGGCAUUUCUCUCUUGUGAACACAGUCAUGCCUGCCUUUUGAUUUUAUUAUUUGUGCUAAUGCAAACAUGAAUUCUCUAUAGUUCUUUGCGCAGCACUGCUAAUUACUCAAUCUGCAAUACAUAAUUAUUUCUGUGAGAAGUUUAGUGCAUGACUUAGCAUUCUGUAAAGUCUGUCUAAGCUCCUGUCUCUAGGCCUAAAUAGAUUUCUCAAUAUCAUUUUUGUUUAAACACUGAACAACAUUGCCAGGUCAACCAUUUCUCAUGUCUUUGUCAUAUAUAUAGGUAUUGUGGUGUCUAAAUUUUGUCACCAGCCUCUUUCACCGACCCAUAAACUAUCUGUCUCGAGGUUCCCCAUCUAUAUUUGGGUUUCGAAAAAAAAGAACUUUUUUUGGACUUAUUUUGCAUUAGCUACUUUGUAGGUAUUAUGUGCAUUGUCAGGGAUCUGAUAUCAUGUAGUUCCAGGGAUUUCAGAAGGUAUGGUCAGUCCAUUGUUUUUGCCAUGUGUUACUUUUUCUCAUUACUGUGAUCAUCAGUGCUCUUGACAUCUGUUGUUCUUGCUUUAUGAUUGUCUUCCCAGUGCACUUUUAUUAGUUCUAACAUAUUAAUUUUAAUAUGCUUGAUUGACCAUAUUAUAUAUUUCACUUCACCGGGGUGGUGGCUAGAAGUGUUGGUUAAAGUAUUUUGGUUAAAACAUUGUCUCUAAUUAUCAAGUUUAUACAGUUGAAUCUUCUUGAUUGACUAUUUUGUAGCCUGCUCUUAGUUAGUAUUAAUUCUUAAAACUGGAUCUCUUAAAAUUAGUUAAAUUUAUGAGUUGUUUCACUGUUUUCAAAUAAGUAGCUUCAGCCCUCACUGUGUCCUGACGAUUAUUCUUACUACCUUUUUAUGAUUGCUUUAUGCUUUAACAAGCUUAAAUAUAACUAUUGGCAUAUAAUCUCAUGGCUUAAAAUCUUAGUUGAGAAUGUAUUAAAAGUUAUAAGAUCUGGAGUUUGCACUAUAUUUCAUCCAGCGGUAUUCCGAGUAACUGAAUGUUAAGAGCAUAGACGAUCAUAGGUUGUACAUUUUAGUUACUGGGAAAUGCUUUUAUCUUGCAGGCUAAUUUUACAUUUACUUUUUCAAUAAUGAGAUGACUAUGUACAGAGUGUCAAGUUUUUUGCCUUGGCAUUACUGCCGCUGUGUACAGAUGGUUACUGAAAGAAGAAGGAUUCAAGCAGCAUACCUUCACUUGACAGAUGCUUUAACCGCAAGAACUGAUGUUAUUUUCUUUUGGUUUUCUGCAAUGAUGGUAGUUCUCAUUUGAUUCUAGAACCUGCAAAGGAAGGGUAGAGAUUUCCAUUGUUGUUGAAUUGGUGGGAUUGUCACCAAGUUAGUGUUGCAGGUUGUUUCUGUUUUAGAGCAAGAAGCCAAAUCAUGUUGUUCAUUGUAAAUCUUGAAAAACUUGUUUACUGUCGCGUCUAUAUCCAUUAUAAACUUUCA
Molecule: RNA transcript, 3461 nt
Organism: Triticum aestivum (bread wheat)
Lineage: Eukaryota; Viridiplantae; Streptophyta; Magnoliopsida; Poales; Poaceae
Exons: 4
Source: RefSeq, a predicted model, not a curated record